RNAcentral lists this ribosomal RNA (465 nucleotides) under Vreelandella stevensii. Its description in RNAcentral is "partial 16S ribosomal RNA". It matches the Rfam family "Bacterial small subunit ribosomal RNA", at positions 338 to 795 of the family's 1533-position model. Lineage: Bacteria; Pseudomonadati; Pseudomonadota; Gammaproteobacteria; Oceanospirillales; Halomonadaceae. The record is from RNAcentral.
CCUACGGGUGGCAGCAGUGGGGAAUAUUGGACAAUGGGCGAAAGCCUGAUCCAGCCAUGCCGCGUGUGUGAAGAAGGCCUUCGGGUUGUAAAGCACUUUCAGUGGGGAAGAAAGCCUUGGGGCUAAUACCCUCGAGGAAGGACAUCACCCACAGAAGAAGCACCGGCUAACUCCGUGCCAGCAGCCGCGGUAAUACGGAGGGUGCGAGCGUUAAUCGGAAUUACUGGGCGUAAAGCGCGCGUAGGCGGUCUGAUAAGCCGGUUGGGAAAUCCCCGGGCUCAACCUGGGAACGGCAUCCGAAACUGUCAGGCUAGAGUGCAGGAGAGGAAGGUAGAAUUCCCGGUGUAGCGGUGAAAUGCGUAGAGAUCGGGAGGAAUACCAGUGGCGAAGGCGGCCUUCUGGACUGACACUGACGCUGAGGUGCGAAAGCGUGGGUAGCAAACAGGAUUAGAUACCCUAGUAGUC